CAGAAGGGAGCUUGCUCCCGGAUGUUAGCGGCGGACGGGUGAGUAACACGUGGGUAACCUGCCUGUAAGACUGGGAUAACUCCGGGAAACCGGAGCUAAUACCGGAUAGUUCCUUGAACCGCAUGGUUCAAGGAUGAAAGACGGUUUCGGCUGUCACUUACAGAUGGACCCGCGGCGCAUUAGCUAGUUGGUGGGGUAAUGGCUCACCAAGGCGACGAUGCGUAGCCGACCUGAGAGGGUGAUCGGCCACACUGGGACUGAGACACGGCCCAGACUCCUACGGGAGGCAGCAGUAGGAAUCUUCCGCAAUGGACGAAAGUCUGACGGAGCAACGCCGCGUGAGUGAUGAAGGUUUUCGGAUCGUAAAGCUCUGUUGUUAGGGAAGAACAAGUGCGAGAGUAACUGCUCGCACCUUGACGGUACCUAACCAGAAAGCCACGGCUAGGAAAGUGCCAGCAGCCGCGGUAAUACGUAGGUGGCAAGCGUUGUCCGGAAUUAUUGGGCGUAAAGGGCUCGCAGGCGGUUUCUUAAGUCUGAUGUGAAAGCCCCCGGCUCAACCGGGGAGGGUCAUUGGAAACUGGGAAACUUGAGUGCAGAAGAGGAGAGUGGAAUUCCACGUGUAGCGGUGAAAUGCGUAGAGAUGUGGAGGAACACCAGUGGCGAAGGCGACUCUCUGGUCUGUAACUGACGCUGAGGAGCGAAAGCGUGGGGAGCGAACAGGAUUAGAUACCCUGGUAGUCCACGCCGUAAACGAUGAGUGCUAAGUGUUAGGGGGUUUCCGCCCCUUAGUGCUGCAGCUAACGCAUUAAGCACUCCGCCUGGGGAGUACGGUCGCAAGACUGAAACUCAAAGGAAUUGACGGGGGCCCGCACAAGCGGUGGAGCAUGUGGUUAAUUCGAAGCAACGCGAAGAACCUUACCAGGUCUUGACAUCCUCUGACAACCCUAGAGAUAGGGCUUUCCCUUCGGGGACAGAGUGACAGGUGGUGCAUGGUUGUCGUCAGCUCGUGUCGUGAGAUGUUGGGUUAAGUCCCGCAACCCGCCAACCCUUGAUCUUAGUUGCCAGCAUUCAGUUGGGCACUCUAAGGUGACUGCCGGUGACAAACCGGAGGAAGGUGGGGAUGACGUCAAAUCAUCAUGCCCCUUAUGACCUGGGCUACACACGUGCUACAAUGUUCGGGACAGAACAAAGGGCUGCAAGACCGCAAGGUUUAGCCAAUCCCAUAAAUCUGUUCUCAGAUCGCAGUCUGCAACUCGA
This 1257-nucleotide ribosomal RNA is filed under the name Bacillus safensis. Its description in RNAcentral is "bacterial SSU rRNA". It matches the Rfam family "Bacterial small subunit ribosomal RNA", at positions 69 to 1315 of the family's 1533-position model. The record is from RNAcentral. Lineage: Bacteria; Bacillati; Bacillota; Bacilli; Caryophanales; Bacillaceae.